This 1500-nucleotide ribosomal RNA is filed under the name metagenome. Its description in RNAcentral is "SSU rRNA". It matches the Rfam family "Eukaryotic small subunit ribosomal RNA", at positions 5 to 1366 of the family's 1831-position model. The record is from RNAcentral.
UGGUUGAUCCUGCCAGUAGCAUAUGCUUGUCUCAAAGAUUAAGCCAUGCAUGUCUAAGUACAAGCCGCUAGACGGUGAAACCGCGAAUGGCUCAAUAAAUCAGUUAUGGUUCCUUAGAACAGUCAAUCCUACUUGGAUAACUGUGGUAAUUCUAGAGCUAAUACAUGCACCCAAGCCCCGACUCGGGGGGCAACUCUCGAGAAAGGGCGCUUUUAUUAGAUCAAAACCAGUCGAGAGCUUCGGCUCUCGUUAAGUUUGGUGACUCUGGAUAACUUCACGCUGAUCGCACGGUCUUCGCACCGGCGACGAUUCUUUCAAAUGUCUGCCUUAUCAACUGUCGAUGGUAGGUUAUGCGCCUACCAUGGUUGCAACGGGUAACGGGGAAUCGGGGUUCGAUUCCGGAGAGGGAGCCUGAGAAACGGCUACCACAUCCAAGGAAGGCAGCAGGCGCGCAAAUUACCCACUCCCGGCACGGGGAGGUAGUGACGAAAAAUAACGAUACGGGACUCUUCCGAGGCCCCGUGAUUGGAAUGAGUACACUUUAAAUCCUUUAACGAGGACCCAUUGGAGGGCAAGUCUGGUGCCAGCAGCCGCGGUAACUCCAGCUCCAAUAGCGUAUAUUAAAGUUGUUGCGGUUAAAAAGCUCGUAGUCGGAGUUCUGUCUUCGGCCGAGGGGGGAUUCUGCCUACACGGUAUGAGUCUCGUUCCCUUUGGGUGUGCGGUGUCAAAGCCGUGCACUCUUAACGGUCGGACAAGUCCGUCGGAGUGUGGUUAUUGUUGGAAGGGCAACCGACCAAUGAGGCCACCGUAAUCGUUCGGGGUGCCUUUAAUCGGGUGUCUCGGGCGGCCGACAUAGUUUACUUUGAACAAAUUAGAGUGCUCAAAGCAGGUGACUACCGCCUGAAUAGUACAGCAUGGAAUGAUGAAAGAGGACCUCGGUCUGAUUUUGCUGGUCUUUAACGGUCGGGCUUCGGCCCGGCCUAUGCAGACCCGAGGUAAUGGUCAAUAGAGACGGACGGGGGCAUCCGUACUGCGGCGACAGAGGUGAAAUUCUUGGACCGCCGCAAGACGAACGACAGCGAAGGCAUUUGCCAAGAAUGUUUUCCUUGAUCAAGAACGAAAGUUAGAGGUUCGAAGGCGAUCAGAUACCGCCCUAGUUCUAACCAUAAACGAUGCCAACUAGCGAUCCGCCGGUGUUACUCCCAUGACUCGGCGGGCAGCUUCCGGGAAACCAAAGUCUUUGGGUUCCGGGGGAAGUAUGGUUGCAAAGCUGAAACUUAAAGGAAUUGACGGAAGGGCACCACCAGGAGUGGAGCCUGCGGCUUAAUUUGACCCAACAUGGGAAACCUCACCAGGCCCGGACGCUGGAAGGAUUGACAGAUUGAGAGCUCUUUCUUGAUUCGGUGGGUGGUGGUGCAUGGCCGUUCUUAGUUGGUGGAGCGAUUUGUCUGGUUAAUUCCGAUAACGAACGAGACUCUAGCCUGCUAAAUAGGUGCCGGG